CCAUCUUCUUCGGGGAGAGGGAUGAGAACCUUCGAUCAAGGUUCGGGUCGAGCAUCGCGAGACAACGCGCGUCAGCGCGGCCCGCAGGGUGAAAUCAUCCUUUUGAACCCGCUU
RNAcentral lists this small RNA (114 nucleotides) under Pantoea ananatis. RNAcentral describes it as "RtT sRNA". It matches the Rfam family "RtT RNA". From Rfam's summary of the family: This family represents a bacterial cis-regulatory element known as RtT RNA. The exact function of RtT is unknown although it is thought that it may be involved in changing the cellular response in relation to amino acid starvation. The record is from RNAcentral. RNAcentral also lists the same sequence under 1 other name. Lineage: Bacteria; Pseudomonadati; Pseudomonadota; Gammaproteobacteria; Enterobacterales; Erwiniaceae.